Molecule: ribosomal RNA, 2018 nt
Filed under: Triticum aestivum (bread wheat)
Lineage: Eukaryota; Viridiplantae; Streptophyta; Magnoliopsida; Poales; Poaceae
Description: partial small subunit ribosomal RNA
Source: RNAcentral
CCCGGUACGGCGAGCGUCGUUUAUCGGAAGGCUUAGGCCACUAUGAAAAAACAGUAAAGAUAGAGCGUUAGAAGAGCUAGCAUCCAUCGUCGAUCCUAGCGACACUAAUAUGCCAUGGCCUUCUUCGUAACGACAACGCGACCUCCACCAGCAUGCAAAACCGCCGCCGCCUCUACCCACCGAGCCUGGUCUUCCGCCGGCCGCCGCCGCCCCGGCACCCGCCGUUCCGGCGCGCACGCACGCUGCCCACGUACGCCGCCGCGCGCGCCACCAUGACGCGCCGGCUGCUGCGGAAGGACACGGUCCCUACACUGUGCAGCCACGUGAGCCGCUUGGGCGAGCGGUCCGCCGUGCUCGCGGAGGCGGACGCGCGCUGCAGGGGCGACGGCCGGCUCCCGCACCGGCGCCACUUCCCCAGCGGCCGCUGCUGCAGGUUCACGGACCUGCAGCGCGGCCGCACCGGCUUCUCCUUCCGCGCAUGAGCCGCGGGCGGCCAGUUCUCGCAGCCCGUCGACGACAGCUCCGCGGAGCACCACGGGCUCCACCCUCGGCCCCUCAGGAGGUGCAGCCUGCUCGCCUCACGCGGGCUCCUCCUCGUCGACGAGAUGGCGCACGGCCAGAAACUAGGGCGGGAGCGGCUCAAGACGAGCGGCGGCGGCUAGCUACUGAGUGCGGUGUCACUCCUGCAGCUUCCGCGGCACCUUCUGCGCUUCCUCGAGUACCGGCUCGUCAGGGGGCACGUCCUCGAGGGGCUAACAAAGCGGUCAAAGCCGGGCUGCCUACGGCUAGAGUCCCUCAAGCGCCGGCUGUACCUUCGCGAGGAGCCGGUUCCGGACCUGCUGCCGUUGCUCUACCUCCUGAGCAAGAUGUACCUCCGGGAUCCCGAGUAUAGCGGCGGCCCUCUUGUGCUGCCCGCCCAUUUCCACCUCCGGCUGCCGCCGGAACAGAGGUCUUCGUUGCCGCAAGACCGCAGACCGGUACUGGACUUCGCCCUCAAGUCGCCGUCGGGCGGCUGUGACCACCUACUGCUGCUGUCAAAGCUCGUGUUCUGCAGCAGCCGCUCGUUGCCCCUGCGGCAACUGCUACGCGUCAAGAACUUUUCCUCGGACCUAGAAUCCGACUUGAUGCUCCGCCAGUACCUCUCGACCCCGUCGAGCGGCACCUGGCUGCCCGCCGCCGGCGGGCCGGUCGAGCUGCUGAACAACGAGGUGCUGGUGCGCCACGUACGUGCUAAAACGUCGAAUUAAGUGAUAUACGAGCUAUGUCAAUUGAACAUAUAAAUUGGUACCACGUACCACAUCCCGUACACCUGCCGGCCUCCUCCUCCUCCUCCUGCCGUACCGCUCCGCCGCACCGGCGGCUCCGGCUCCUGCCUGCUCACCGCCCUCCGCGCCCACAGCGCCAUGGCCCUCUUCGCCGCCUGCGCCGACAAGCGGUUCUUCUAUGCGAUGCUCCACGCCUUCGACUUGCGCCUCUUCGCCGGGGCCUACUUCCCGGCGAAGCAGUUCGCGUGGCCGCGGCGCCGCCGGCGGCGGGGCACGCGGCAGUGGACUGGAUCGGCUUGAUCCGGCAACGUGGCACGCACAGCUAACGACGCGCGCGCCAUGUCUAACGCAGCACGAGCAGACUCAGUGCACGUAGCGUACUUUAAUGUGUGUGGGUGUGUGUUUUGAACAGCUUCGACGAAAUUAAUCACAGAUAAAACAAGCAGUCCUUACUAACAGAAAAAAGCAAAGAAAGGAACCACUAAGGCCGUCACCUCUUCCCAGCCCUUGUGUUUCCAAAAGACUCGAACAAUCGAGUGGUACUCUUUACCAAAACCCAACCACCAAAAACGCUGGAAAAAGAGGGCAAAGAUGACACUCUCUACUCUCUUCCUAUCCACCAAGACGCACGUAGAAUACCAACGUGAACAUGUGAACAUGUAAACAUGUACUAACAUUAUUUAAUUUCAUAUAUUUAACCAACGUUGAGAACGUACAUGGCACAUAUAGUCGUCCAAUCAUGUAUUAUAAGGG